GAAACUAUAGUCAUAUUACAAACAUAAUGAUAUAUAAUUUGCACUUAUAAGGAGUUUAAAAACUAGUUUCA
This 71-nucleotide transfer RNA is filed under the name Geothelphusa dehaani. RNAcentral describes it as "tRNA-Ala". The record is from RNAcentral. Lineage: Eukaryota; Metazoa; Arthropoda; Malacostraca; Decapoda; Potamidae.